AUUCCUAGCCUCUUGAACUUCAAAUUCGUCCAUCCAUCUUGCUCCAUUCAUAAGCUAUCUAUUUGGUGCCCAAAACUGCCUCAAAAUGCUCCAAAUUGCACUUUCUUGCCAACUUUGUCAUAUGGACCUACAAACACACGAAAAUAGCUUAAAACACUAUAAUAAACAUAAACAAACUAUGAAAAUGCAAGAAAACAAGCUACCUAAGUCGCAUAAAUAUGCUCCUAUCAAAUUCCCCUACACUUAGCUUUUGCUAGUCCUCGAGCAAAACAAAGGAAACAAAACAAACAAAACAGAACCUAAACCUUCCAACGUUUGUCUCAGGGAUUUCCAAUGAAACAUGACACAUUAAAAAUCACUACUUACAUAGAUUUUAGUUAUUCUCACCCUCGAGCACAUACUUAAUCAUAGUCACCAUUUACUAGCUCACAUUUAAUCAAUUAAAACAACAUUUUGAAUAUAGUAACAUGCCUUAGAGAAUUCCCUCAAUUCCUCACAGGAUAUACUCUCUAUUUUCACACAGAUUUUCUAACUACACACCCUACACUAGUUAUAUGUGAGAAGAUUGAUGUAAACAUGUAGACGAACACUCACAUAUAUGUAUAACAAAGAAAGCACUUUCUGGAGUUAUUAAACAUGCUAGAUAUGAUCUCAUGAAUGGAAUGCUACUACUUAGACGCGAGAACCAGUGACACCAUAUGCUCAUACCAAUCCCAAACUCCACAUAUUGAAAUACACAACAACCAAAAUUAAAGUCUAAGGGUUGUAAUGAGGCUGAGGGUAUUGGCUAACAAAAAAAGGUUAAGGAUAAACAAACGUUCUUAAAGCAAUAGUAAGCAAAGCAAUGAAAUCAACUUAGAAUUUACUUUAGAAUGCAGAAAUCAACUUUUAAACACAAGGGAAGAUUCAUGCAACACUUAGGGUCAAAUUCAAGCUUUUUGGACCAUUUCUUCAACAACCAACACUUUAGAGCUUUUCUAACAUAUUUUUCAACUCUUCUUUCAUUCCUUUCACAACUUUUCUUUUUUUUCUUUCUAUUUUCCACAAAUUUUUUUUUCUUUUUCUUUUCUACCUGUGCCUCUUUUAAGACUUUGGCACACACACACACACACAAAUCCCUUCCCCCACACUUGUUUUUCUUCUGCAAUAUGUUUGAUCAAAAGGAAUUCCCUCUAAGUCAUGCUUCACUAUCCAUUAAGAACAAGGGUAUGGAUAGUCCUAUUCUAGGCUAGGUUGGGGUAAUGUGGCUAACAACAAAAAUAGGCUAAAUAAGGCUCAAAAGGGGUUAAACCUACAAAACAAAUGCAUGGGAUGAAGGCUUUUUGGCUCUGGUGGUGACUACUAAACAACUUCAUCUUGUUAUAUGUUAUGCACUCAAUUUUAAAGCUUUGAAUGAAACGGGCAUGAGUUCUAGUAUUUGGAACUAAAGUGAUAAAACGCAUUCUAAGUAGCAACCAAGCAAAGAAUAAUGAGAUCAUGCAACGACUUUAGAAAACAAGAAAUCACAGAUUAAUAACUCUCCAAAUAAAGUUUAGGCUCAAAUCUCUCAGGGUUGUAGCGUUAGUUUAAGUUCCUUCCUUCAAGCAUGUUACAAAAACUGAUUUUUUUUUUUUCCUUUUGUGAUUACAUGUGAAUUCGUAAACGACAACUAAAACCAAGCAUAAACCAAAGAGCAUAUCAAACUUCCACCCAUGUUUGUAACUUUCUUUAACAGUCAUGCAAUUAAAAACCAAAUCCUCAUCAUUGUGUUGGAAGGUACCCUAAGACACAAACACACAAAAACAACUUUAAAACGACUCUUUUUGGGUUUUUCAAAACAUUUUCUAAUUUUUUUUUCAAAUUUUCGUAUUUUCUGUUAAAGACACACUAAAACACUUCAAAACGCACUAAAAACACUCAAAAAAAAUUGAAAAACAAACAUUUGAAAUGUUAGGUGGUAAACUCCUACGAAUUUUGCAACAAAAAAACACUUGUUUACCCCUCCCCCCCACUUAAACCAAACAUUGUCCUCAAUGUUUCAAACAUAGAAUCACACAAAAACAAGCAAAUAACAUAACUAGCAAAUAUGACAAAUAUGGCAAAGUAAAAGCAAUAAAGAGUAGGGUUUAGGAACGCAAAUCUGGUUGUGAUGCCGGAGCUUCCUAGGUCUUCUUUAUUUGCAUGGGUUGCCUCCCAAGAAGCGCUUGCUUUAACGUCUUGCAGCCGGACGAUGCUUCUCUUUACGCUCCCCUAGGUCCCAUAGCAUGAAAUUGAUCCUUGAAUGGAAGGUGAUAUUUGAAAUGAUCCGCCAAAGGUUUCAAUUCUAGAGUGGGUGCCUGAAUCAUUAACAACAUGUAAGUAUAAAACGUAAUGGAAAUCGAAGAAGAUGACUUACUUGCUUUGUCCAACAGGAACUCAAUGACAAACACCACUUCUUGGAAAGUUUCAGGGAUAUUGGACUCGGCCAGAUUGAAUGUGAUGGUUGGGACUUGCCCCGUGUCAUAAAAUUCAACGUCUUUGGGCUUCGUUGUCUCAAAUACGUCCUCUUUGAUGAAUUCUUGAUAUUCUCCAGCCACUACUUUCUCUUGAAUCAUUCUUCUUGGUGUACAAAGUCCCUUGAACAAUUCAACACAAUCUAGAACUUGCUUUGUUGCACCAAGAAUUGGAAUAUCAUUUUGCACCUUUGGAAGAGCUUCCACAAUGUCUUUUUCACUC
RNAcentral lists this long non-coding RNA (2694 nucleotides) under Malus domestica (apple). Its description in RNAcentral is "long non-coding RNA (MDOM_LNC009155)". The record is from RNAcentral. Lineage: Eukaryota; Viridiplantae; Streptophyta; Magnoliopsida; Rosales; Rosaceae.